GGCUCAAUGAUUAUAUUCCUUGCACAGGCUAUAUACGCUAUUCUCAUUAGUAUAUUAUCAAUAGGAUAAAACCUAAAUUCGUAUCAGAGCU
This is a small nucleolar RNA of Papaver somniferum (opium poppy), 91 nucleotides long. RefSeq annotates it as small nucleolar RNA U54. The record is from RefSeq and is a predicted model, not a curated record. The transcript has a single exon. Lineage: Eukaryota; Viridiplantae; Streptophyta; Magnoliopsida; Ranunculales; Papaveraceae.